GAUGAACGCUGGCGGCGUGCCUAAUACAUGCAAGUCGAGCGAACGGACGAGAAGCUUGCUUCUCUGAUGUUAGCGGCGGACGGGUGAGUAACACGUGGAUAACCUACCUAUAAGACUGGGAUAACUUCGGGAAACCGGAGCUAAUACCGGAUAAUAUUUUGAACCGCAUGGUUCAAAAGUGAAAGACGGUCUUGCUGUCACUUAUAGAUGGAUCCGCGCUGCAUUAGCUAGUUGGUAAGGUAACGGCUUACCAAGGCAACGAUGCAUAGCCGACCUGGGAGGGUGAUCGCCCACACGGGAACUGAGACACGGUCCAGACUCCUACGGGAGGCAGCAGAAGGGAAUCUUCCGCAAUGGGCGAAAGCCUGACGGAGCAACGCCGCGUGAGUUAUGAAGGUCUUCGGAUCGUAAAACUCUGUUAUUAGGGAAGAACAUACGUGUAAGUAACUGUGCACAUCUUGACGGUACCUAAUCAGAAAGCCACGGCUAACUACGUG
Molecule: ribosomal RNA, 497 nt
Filed under: uncultured bacterium
Lineage: Bacteria
Description: partial 16S ribosomal RNA
Rfam family: Bacterial small subunit ribosomal RNA
Source: RNAcentral